This 433-nucleotide ribosomal RNA is filed under the name uncultured bacterium. Its description in RNAcentral is "partial 16S ribosomal RNA". It matches the Rfam family "Bacterial small subunit ribosomal RNA", at positions 29 to 507 of the family's 1533-position model. The record is from RNAcentral.
AACGAACGCUGGCGGCAUGCCUAACACAUGCAAGUCGAACGAGACCUUCUGGUCUAGUGGCGCACGGGUGCGUAACGCGUGGGAACCUGCCCUUAGGUUCGGAAUAACUCCCCGAAAGGGGUGCUAAUACCGGAUAAUGUCUUCGGACCAAAGAUUUAUCGCCUUUGGAUGGGCCCGCGUUGGAUUAGCUAGUUGGUAGGGUAAAAGCCUACCAAGGCGACGAUGCAUAGCUGGUCUGAGAGGAUGAUCAGCCACACUGGGACUGAGACACGGCCCAGACUCCUACGGGAGGCAGCAGUGGGGAAUAUUGGACAAUGGGCGAAAGCCUGAUCCAGCAAUGCCGCGUGAGUGAUGAAGGCCUUAGGGUUGUAAAGCUCUUUUACCCGGGAUGAUAAUGACAGUACCGGGAGAAUAAGCUCCGGCUAACUCCGUG